RNAcentral lists this non-coding RNA (21 nucleotides) under Caenorhabditis elegans. Lineage: Eukaryota; Metazoa; Nematoda; Chromadorea; Rhabditida; Rhabditidae. The record is from RNAcentral.
UGCAAUUUAGUGCAUCUGAGC